AUUGAACGCUGGCGGCAUGCCUUACACAUGCAAGUCGAACGGUAACAGGUCUUCGGAUGCUGACGAGUGGCGAACGGGUGAGUAAUACAUCGGAACGUGCCCGAUCGUGGGGGAUAACGAAGCGAAAGCUUUGCUAAUACCGCAUAAGAUCUAUGGAUGAAAGCAGGGGACCGCAAGGCCUUGCGCGAACGGAGCGGCCGAUGGCAGAUUAGGUAGGUGGUGGGAUAAAAGCUUACCAAGUCGACGAUCUGUAGCUGGUCUGAGAGGACGACCAGCCACACGGGGACUGGGACACGGCCCAGACUCCUACGGGAGGCAGCAGUGGGUGAUGUUGGACAAUGGGCGAAAGCCGGAUCCAGCCAUGCCGCGUGCAGGAUGAAGGCCUUCGGGUUGUAAACUGCUUUUGUACGGAACGAAAAGACUCUUUCUAAUAAAGAGGGUCCAUGACGGUACCGUAAGAAUAAGCACCGGCUAACUACGUGCCAGCCGCCGCGUAA
This 497-nucleotide ribosomal RNA is filed under the name uncultured bacterium. RNAcentral describes it as "partial 16S ribosomal RNA". It matches the Rfam family "Bacterial small subunit ribosomal RNA", at positions 30 to 522 of the family's 1533-position model. The record is from RNAcentral.